CCCUGCAUGCUUCCCUGGAUUUUCCUGGGCCCUGUACUAUGAAUUUUAUGUGUGUGAUUGCCUAACCCCAGACAGUGUUCACCCUAAGGACACAGUGUCUGCCAAAAGGCCUGAGGGGCAGCAGACAGAAUGACAGAAAAGAAGAUAAGCUGCAGUGACCUCCCUCAUCUUCUCCUCCCC
Archocentrus centrarchus (flier cichlid) is the source of this 180-nucleotide long non-coding RNA. RefSeq lists it as uncharacterized. NCBI's taxonomy places the organism in Eukaryota, Metazoa, Chordata, Actinopteri, Cichliformes, Cichlidae. The transcript is spliced from 3 exons. The record is from RefSeq and is a predicted model, not a curated record.